RNAcentral lists this ribosomal RNA (433 nucleotides) under uncultured bacterium. RNAcentral describes it as "partial 16S ribosomal RNA". It matches the Rfam family "Bacterial small subunit ribosomal RNA", at positions 29 to 507 of the family's 1533-position model. The record is from RNAcentral.
AACGAACGCUGGCGGCAUGCCUAACACAUGCCAGUCGAACGAGACCUUCGGGUCUAGUGGCGCACGGGUGCGUAACGCGUGGGAACCUGCCCUUAGGUUCGGAAUAACUCCCCGAAAGGGGUGCUAAUACCGGAUAAUGUUUUCGGACCAAAGAUUUAUCGCCUUUGGAUGGGCCCGCGUUGGAUUAGCUAGUUGGUAGGGUAAAAGCCUACCAAGGCGACGAUCCAUAGCUGGUCUGAGAGGAUGAUCAGCCACACUGGGACUGAGACACGGCCCAGACUCCUACGGGAGGCAGCAGUGGGGAAUAUUGGACAAUGGGCGAAAGCCUGAUCCAGCAAUGCCGCGUGAGUGAUGAAGGCCUUAGGGUUGUAAAGCUCUUUUACCCGGGAUGAUAAUGACAGUACCGGGAGAAUAAGCUCCGGCUAACUCCGUG